RNAcentral lists this transfer RNA (71 nucleotides) under bacterium. RNAcentral's name for it is "tRNA-Pro". It matches the Rfam family "tRNA". Rfam says of the family: Transfer RNA (tRNA) molecules are approximately 80 nucleotides in length. The record is from RNAcentral.
CGGGCUGUAGUAUAGUGGUAGUACGCGACCAUGGGGUGGUUGCAGUCUGAGUUCGAUUCUCAGCAGCCCGA